GCCGCCGCUUUUCUUUUCUCACCAGCCCCAUACCCAACACCUAGGCGUAAUGAAUGCUCACUUCCAGUUGUAAAUAGUGAAGGUUGCUCUCUCUCAUCGAGGGGGGAGGGGGAUUCUCCAUUUUCAUCGUCCGUCAAGAGCUGGGCUAAAUAGUUCGAUCCAGAAGAGACCUCAACUGGCUGUAUCAACGCUUGGAUCUGCAGUUUUGGUUAGCAGGCGUGUACGCGAGCUUGGCGGAUGGAGGAAGAGGACGAAAACCAAGGGUGGGGAGGGGGAAGGCAUGAGCAAAUAGGGGUUACAGUUGAUGUUGUUGAGAGGUCAGGAGAUGAUGUGGAGGAUCAGACAGGGCUGACCUCGCGGCUGUCAGUUAAGCAUGUCGUCGAGGUCAUCACAAAAUUCGAUGAGUACAAAAGAUGGCUUGUGUCUGAGAUUGGUUUUGAGGGUAUGCUUAAACUCCCACUGUUGGGGAAGAUGGAUCUAAGGAUGAGUGCGUGGAUUAUGCGGAAGGUGAAGGUGAAGGUGCGUGCAAUAGUUGUUGAUGAACAUAGGGUGAUUCCUUUUGUGCCAGAGGAUUUUCACAAAGUAUUUGGCAUUCCGUGCAGCAACCGCGCUGUUCGUGGAAGGGAUGGCGAAAUAAAGAGUGCAGCAGUAGAGUUCAUGAAGCAGACAAUUGGGAUGGAUGCAUCUCCUGCUCAGAAUCUCAAGAUGGCAGAAGAUUUUCUUAGUAGGGAUAUAUCAGAUGAAUCAAGCAAGAUUGAGAAGGACUGUUUCCAGAUUUCAUUUGUUAUAUUUGUGAUGGGUUAUGUCUUGUCCCCGGGCACAAAGUAUGAGCACAUGACCAUUGAUUUUUGGGGGGCUCUCGCCAAUCCUGAGCUGAUUUCUCAAUUUAAUUGGUGCGAGUAUGCUGUUGAUAAUCUCAUGGCAGCUGUGAUGAAGUUGCAGAGGGAAUAUCACAACAAGGCGCAGGUGGUUCAUCUUUCUGGAUGCCAUUUGUUCUUCCAGAUUUUCUUGCUGGACAACAUUGAUCUUGGGAUUUUCAACAUGAUACACUCUGUAUUUCCGAGAAUUCAGAGUUUUGACUACAAAAUGCUUCGGCAGAUGAUUACGAUGGCGCGCUGCAAGCAGCGAGGGAGCAUAACAUACAUCCCUGGAGCAAUUCGCGCACCAGAUUCUGUAUGCUAUGUGCGUGUAAGUGUGACGAGCGCAAUGUGGACGGACGGUAUGUCACUUCCAUCUUCGUCCAAACAACCAUCAUCAAGGAUGUCUGUCACACCCAAAUGUCAGACAUCAAAGGUUUGUUUAGAUGCAAAGACAGGGGCAUUCAACUUUUUUGGGGAUCCUAUGUCUGCUAAUAGGUCAAUUGGCCCAAGUGAAUUCAGCAAGCAUCUUCGACAGAUUUCAAAAGAUGAUCCGGCCCUGCAGGAGCUGAGUCUCAUGUUGAAGCAGCACAAUGCCAAGUGCACGCUCACCGCGACAUUGUUGAGGAACCAACUGCAGUGUGAUAUGUUUUGCUUUGCGGAGAAAAUGGUCGAACUUGUGAAGGACCGCUGCAGGUGUUGUUCGAAUCAAGGAUUGUCCAAGUGUAUUAGUCUUCAGGAUACUGAUGUGGAUGGUAAUUCUAGUAGGCGAGUUUUCGAAGUAGGCCGUCGGCUUGAUAUGGGUUGUGACGAAGUGCAUGCAAAGUCAAAGGUUGACAAAGAUUAUCAAAGAAUGAAAAGGAUUUGUGUUGAACGAAACAAAAACAAAGCUGAAUCAGGGCAGGGCCAGUCGCGGACGGAAGAUGAUGUGCCUGUCUACAACAAUCCUGUGAUAGAGAGAAAACCAGAUGAUCGGGGGAAGAUGUUUGAAGACCGAAUUGUAGUCUAUGCACAGACUAUUGCUGAAAUGGUUCAAUCUCUAUAUGAUACAGAUACAAAGGAGGCAAAAUUUGUUUAUUUUCACUCAACUGAGUCUAAAUUACCCAGGCGUAGGUAUGUCAUGUCGGCAAGCUUUUACAAUGAUCCAUGGUCACGGGGAUGUGUCCCGCAACCUGCUUCAAUCCCGUUGAUAGACAAGUUCAAUGCAUGGAUCGGUGGUCAGAAAGACCUUGAUUUGAAUAGUGUUUGGUUGCUGCAUACAUCGCCAAGGCUCUUGAGGGUAAAUGUUGUAUGUAUUCAGCAGCAGAUACUUGGAUCAGAAGCUCUUGACCAUGAGGUUGCUACCCUUCUUUUGCGGCGUUUUUACCAAAUUGACACUGGGGAUGGAGGAGCAAGUACCUACAUGUUGUGGAGGGAAGUUCUUGGACCAGAUUUUUCGAUGCGGCCAUAUUUUACUACAUAUAAUUAUGUUGUUUUUAGGCUCAUACACUUUAGCAAUGUACAUUUGUAAUGUGAAACACUGAGUUUUUCCGCACAACAGACGCAUGCUCUUGCCGGGGGGAAAGUCUUGCAUGUGAAAGCUGUACAGGGGGUAUUUACACAUGCUAAUCAUGAUAUAACGGCGUGUAGGAUGUUUUUCGUACUGCUGUGUUGGAUCAAGGGUGGGCGGCGUAUAUGUGGGACAUGAUGAGGAAGGAUAUUCAUGUCCUCGACCCUAUGUGUCAGCAAGCUGUGGGUUUAGAGCAGCGUCACUUAAUGCAUGAAGUGGCAGUCUCACAAAUUCAUGCUGCGUUAUUUGGCUGCUUGAAUGAAUACUUUGCAAAAUGGCAUUGCGCUUCUCAAAGUUGGAAGCGGAUGUUCCCGAAGAUUACUGAUGACUUUUUCACAAGGGAUGAGUCUGGAAUAUGCAUGAUCCAUGCUAUUAGGAAUUAUAGUGGGGAGAAGAUGAUGUGUGCACUUACGAAGGAGGAGCAGUUGCUGGAAGGCAGCAUCCCAAGAUAUGCGUGAUGAGCGCAAGUGCAUGGUUGACGUAGGUUUGCAAAGAAAGUGUUUUCAGCAUCAGGAUGCUACAUUGUUCAUGGAAGUGCACACGCUGCAAUUCAUCUUCUUUGCUGCUGACAAUGGCUAUGUCCUGAAGAAAUCAUGAGUGCAAGGAUGACAGUCAGAACCACAGAAAGUCUGGUAACUCAUGACGGAAUAAAGUUUGUGGGUUUUCUCUGAGGGUGAUCCGUCGGCUGCACUCCACAAAACUUGCAAAUUGUCAGAUCAAUGAUUUUGUCUCAAGGUACGACAAUGGGGUAGGUAGUUGCUGAACAAACCUUCAGAUGUUGGAGGCAGCCGCGUGCUAGAAGAUGAAAAUAUGCUUCUGUUGAUCUUAUGUGCAAAACGGUCUAUGCUGCUAUCGUAGCUACCUGAUGCAACUGUACAUUUAUCACCAAGUUGGUCAGCAAUACUUCACUUUUAUGAUUUGUUUGGUACUACUAGAGUAUGAUGUACAUUUUUUUACGGAUUACCUGCUGCUAGGAGGUCCAUGCCUGAUGAGCUGCCACCCAGAGCGUAUGUUGGACUUGAAUCCCAUUUUGGCGCAGCGAGUGUGUUGGAAGUCCGAUAAUCUAUAAGGCAGGUACCAAAAUCAAGGAUGUUAUAAAUAGGCGACGACAUGUCUUUGAGGGUGUAGCAGAUAUCAAGCUGCUCUGCCCUACCUGAAUGUGUGAGGAUCAUUUCAUCAACAGUGUUGCUUGUCUUGUGUCCAUAACUUGACUCCAUGGAUGCCAUAUGCAUACCGAGAGCACCAGAGUACAAUGCAUUGUCACCUAGUCAUCCAACCGAAUUGGACAGUAAGGGCACAUUUUUAUGUAGGCGAGAUAACCGAUUUUGCUGUAUAGAUCAGCUAGCAGGAGACAUAUGAUAUGUGCCGUCACCCGAAGGUUGCUGUUUACUAUGGGUUUGGGUAGUAUGUUUUGCCCGUCGUUGGCUGUAUGCCUUGAGUUCCACAUGUUUCUCUUGGAGUUUGCUACAGUCUGUGCCUGCAAGCAGUGCAAAUAGGUUGAUCAACAAGUCAGGAAUGUUUAAACAUGGAUGGGAGGGUGUACUAUGUUUUUGAAAUAACAAGGAUGACCUGCUGCUGGAGUUAUAUUGCCUUGGAAAUUGGAGUUGGAAGAUGCGGAUGGUAUAGUUGGAGCUGUUGGUUCUUGUGGAGUAGCCAUUUGUUGCAUGACAUCUGAAAUACGUGCUGUUUUGUGUUUCUUGUAGUCCAGCUUUCUUGCCACAUCUGUUCGGGAUCGCUUACUUGACCAUCCAAUUGAUCCGCUUAUAGUAUCACUCUGGCUCUGGGAACGGAAAUGGAAAGGUGUACGGGGACAUUUGGGAGAUGGGAUCUGUACUGGAUCAGCUAUGUACAACAUUUUAGUUAGCACUUAAGUCUGUAGAAAAAUGUGAACUAGUGUAUACAGCGAGUUGAAGCUCGGAAUGCCAAAAGUACAUUUGGUACUACCUGGAUCGUUUUGGCCAUCUAGGUUGUUUGCAAUACUGAACUGAAGCUCACGACGUGUUGAGGUGCAGCUGCCAUCACUCAAAUUGAGUCGUCCAAUAACAGCUGGCAGUCCUGGUGCACGUAAACUUGGUUUUGGUGUUUUCUUUUUGUCCGGAUUUCCGUAGUCUGCAAAGAAAUUCAUAAUGUGGAAUGAUCAAGUCAAAUAGUUGUCAUGGAUGUUUCACAAUGAAAAUGAACCUGAAUUUUGCACAGCUCCAAGUGGAGAUUCUAGUUGCACGGUUGAUGUUGGAGGUAUCUGGAUGCGGAGAUCUGUUUAAAAUGGAGAGGGUGUCGCAGGUUAGCAACAUCAAUUAGCAUGGCAACUACUGAUUGCGAGGCAAGAGCAAUUAAGUGAACGUACUAGCGUUGUCAGUUGACGCAAAGCAGUUUGCUGUGGAUUGUACUGCCUUAUGUCCAAUGGAUACCUGUUUUUCAGGAGGUUCCUCCAAUAUAUUUCUUUUGUUGCUGCUAGUGUUCAGCUCCAUGCCUUUUGCAAGCCAGAUUUGGUAUGUUAGUACUGCGGACAAUGUAGUAAUAAAUAUAGAUAAUAUGUGCAAUGCGAUGCUGAAAGGAGAUACAACCUUGAGGAGGUGCAGGAGGAACCAUUUGCAGAGCUGUGUUCAAUGCACCAAAUGUCGGACGUCAGAUAAAUGUACCCACUGAUUAAGUACUAAUCGUGAGGCUUGGGUAACAGAUGAAACUCACGGGUGACAUGAAUUGCUGUGGAGCAACUUGGUAUGGAUUCUGCUUCUGUUCCUCUAUUGGAUAUAUGUUUUGGUGCAGCUUCUUCGAAUAUCUUCCUUUUCCUUGAACUAGUGUUUACCUCCAGUACUAUUUACAAGACAAAGUUCUCAGGUUAGAGGUGAUAAGAUUGCAAAAAGAAGUAGGAAUAAUAUCUUUAUUGUCAAAGCGAAGGGGAGAUAACAUUCACAAGUGGCAUGAGGAAUAAGGUUGGCUAUUUGUUUUGCCAUCCGAGCAGUCUUUGGGAACUUUGUCUGUGCUCGUUCAGCAAAUAGCAGCAUCGACAAGAACUCUGUGUACAGAGCCUUACAACCAUUGUCAACCUUGUCGGAAAUUUGAAGAACUAGUGCAACACAUCUCCGGUAGUGCUCAUUUGUCAAUCUUUGUUCAGGCGGACGGUGGUGGACGGCAAAAUUAAGUAUUGCAUCCCUGAUUCUGCACGCUACAAAUGUUUUGAUGAACUGAGAAGCAGCUGUUGUUGCCGCACCAAUUGAAAAGGCACGUUCCUGAUGGAGGAUUGGAUGCAGUUCCCACUUUGUUGCGGCAUAGGUGGCAAUGCUUUUUGUCUGUAUGAAUGUCAAUACAUUUAUAGUUCAUGUCCAGUGCGUAAACAAAGAGACACACGGCCAGGCAUUGUCCAUCAUGCAGUGUGCUUCAAAAUUGAUCCAAUCCACAAAGAGUAUCUAUUCAUGUGCACAAGGUAGCAACAACAUGACCAAUGAGUAAUCUCAUACGUAGGCAUUAGAGUGAAGGAUAAGAAAAUGAAUGCAUGCAGAUCUAGCACGUACUUGGGGCACAAGUUGGAAGGCUCCUACUACGGCGAUAUUGACCUGCUCAGCCUCAAGUUUUUGGGCCUUGUCCGCGCUUACCAUGAUUCCAUCAAGCAGAUACUGACCCCAGUUGUAUGUGUGAAUUUGAGAGGGAUCCAGUACACAUAGAAGGACUUCGUCAGGCACAUCUGCACUUGUGUAUCUAGGACAAAUCAUGGUGGCACACACUAGCAGAGUGUAGGCAACAUUUGCAAUGUCAAUCUCUUUCUCAUUAGUUGUUCUUGGAUCAAAACGGCCGAUGACACUCAUUAGUUGAUUAACUUGUAUUGUGCCUUUUACUGUCCGUGCUAGACCAUGCAUAUCCUGAACCUGCCACAACACAUCCAGCCUGUUGGAUGGGCUCAGGUGUGUUGGGACAGGCACAGGUCCAGACUGGAUGCCUGUAAUAUGCUCUACAUCCUGUACCGAGAUGGAUCUAACUUGUUUAUCAGGGAAUGUCAUGGUCUUCCGCUUUGAAUC
Molecule: RNA transcript, 6419 nt
Organism: Triticum dicoccoides
Lineage: Eukaryota; Viridiplantae; Streptophyta; Magnoliopsida; Poales; Poaceae
Exons: 16
Source: RefSeq, a predicted model, not a curated record